GUGGCCUAUACAAAAGCACUCCAUGUUUCUGCCGAUACUCUGUCCUUGGUUGCCUGAGCAAAAUUGUAUAAAGGGAGCUGCUUGGAGGGGAAAGGAACACAAUAAAACGCCUCUGGAGGGCCAAACCCCAAGUUACACAGCGCAACAGUACUUGUCAACCACUCCAUCUCCUCAGUGACACAGGUGCUAAAGUACCUCUCCCCUGAGGCAAAGUCCCGACACAUCUGUGAUUGAAUGCAACUAUAGAAGUAUUAGCAUAAAAAUAUGUGGCCUGGAAGGAAUCUCUGAAGAUACUGAAGAACCUCAAGUUCCCUACAUUGCUAGGAGCCAAGGGAAGGAGACACUGUACACCUAGAGCGCUGAAUUAGCAGCUGAGGUUUUAGUAUUUGAAAGCAAAUAAUAUAAAGCGAGUAAUGUCUACAGUGGGUCUCAGUUACCAUUUGGCUACUUAUUUAGGACUCGAUUAACUUGGCAACUUUUACAAAAAACAUUCACAUCACAACAUGCAACUUAAAAAACAGUUAAUGUAACUAUGCCACUGUCAGCAAGGCCAGCUUGCAUACCAGAGUUAAGAAUGAGAGUGUCUGUCUGCCUAGGGCUUAACAUUCAAAGAUAUUUAUAAUCUGUGUUUUAAGGUUAAAUUUUAUAUGACCCAGUUUUCCUUCUUUGUUCACUAUACACUAAAAUUAAACGCCUCUACGCUGUGCAAGAAAUCACUAUGUGUGAUUUUACUAUUUCAACCAAUCCAUAGACCCUGAGGAUUUGGCAGCAGAAUUCAGGAGAAAUGCUACCUAAAGUGAUUGAGCUGUUGCUAAUUCUACCUUCUGUUCCACUCAAGUACCUCCAGGGACUAACAAGGGAAGGCAAGGGCAACUGUGACUGACUAGGUAACCAGCUAUUCUGUUGUGACAGAAGAAACCAGGUAAUACUUGAUUUUCAAAAGAUAAUUUUAACUGCUGCCCUAUACUACUUUUAGUAUAGUUUGGCUUGACCUUAAUAGCCAUGUCCCUCAUCUUAGAUAGAAUAACCAAAUUGGUUUAAAAUUACUUGAUCUAUGUCACUGAAACCUGAAAUAUGCCAUCACUAAGAGAACCCCCAAAUAAAAAAUAAAGAACUAAAAAACACAACCAAACCAAAUCAAACCAAAAACCUCAUUCUCUGUAUCAUACUUUAAAACUAAAAUAAAAAUCCCUGUGUCACAGGUGCUUGCUCAGGGCUGCCAACUUCUAUUUUUCACCUGAGAGACAUCUAAAAGCGCAAACUAUGCUUGUAAAAACCAAAAAGUAAAUCUCUACAUAGGACAAUACUUAUAAGCAGACCUAUUGAUACCACUUAUAUAUAAUUAGUCUGUUUUCUUUAGAAAGUAUCAGAGCAGAAACGUCUUUGGUUAAUUCUUUCCUCUACAUGCAAAAUAAAAUAUUCUUAAACGA
Long non-coding RNA from Homo sapiens (human), 1430 nucleotides. RefSeq annotates it as TTBK2 antisense RNA 1. The transcript is spliced from 3 exons. The record is from RefSeq and is marked validated. NCBI's taxonomy places the organism in Eukaryota, Metazoa, Chordata, Mammalia, Primates, Hominidae.